CAAGGAAUAGUUUAACUGAGAAUACUAGCUUUGGGAGUUAGCGGUGGGGGUUCGAAUCCCCCUUCUUUGA
Molecule: transfer RNA, 70 nt
Filed under: Centropyge aurantia (golden angelfish)
Lineage: Eukaryota; Metazoa; Chordata; Actinopteri; Pomacanthidae
Description: tRNA-Pro
Rfam family: tRNA
About the family: Transfer RNA (tRNA) molecules are approximately 80 nucleotides in length.
Source: RNAcentral